CCUACGAGAGUCUGCAGUGGGGAAUAUUGCACAAUGGGGGAAACCCUUAUGCAGCAACGCCGCGUUAGUGAAGAAGUAUUUCGGUAUGUAAAGCUCUCUCAGCAGGGAAGAAAAUUACAGUACCUGACUAAGAAGCCCCGGCGAACUACGUGCCAGCAGCAGCGGUAAUACGGAGGGGGCAAGCGUUAUCCGGAUUUACUGGUGGUAAAGGGAGCGUAGACGGCUGCGCAAGUCAGAAGUGAAAGCCCGGGGAUCAACCGCGGGACUGAUUUUGAAACUGUGUAGCUAGAGUGCAGGAGAGGGAAGUGGAAUUCCUAGGGGAGCGGGGAAAGGCGUAGAUAUUAGGAGGAAAACCGGUGGCGAAGGCGGCUUACUGGACUGUAACUGACGUUGAGGCUCGAAAGCGUGGGGAGCAAACAGGAUUAGAUACCCGGGUAGUC
This 440-nucleotide ribosomal RNA is filed under the name uncultured bacterium. RNAcentral describes it as "partial 16S ribosomal RNA". It matches the Rfam family "Bacterial small subunit ribosomal RNA", at positions 338 to 795 of the family's 1533-position model. The record is from RNAcentral.